CCCUCCUCGGCGUGGCACUCGCCCUGGCUCUCUGUCCAAGUCCUCGCGUGCGUGCCUCCGCUGCAGCCGUGGCAGCUCUGCACGAGGCUCUUCCCGUGUCCAGGUCAUGCGUUUCCCCAGCUGCACAGUCCGUGUUCCGUUCCCAACACGAGAGCGGGUGUCGUGCAUGCCACCUGCCGACGUCUGCAGCGCGCUGGGCCCCCGUGCGGCUGCAGUGCAUAGACGGUGUAAAGCAGGAUCUCACGGUUUUGAAUUCGGGCUCUCCCAGGGACCAGGAGCAGGAGAAAGCAGCCGAGAGCGAGGCGGGCAGAGCAGGCGCAGCGCCGUCUCUGGCCCUCAGCAUCUUCUACGCCGGCAGAAAGGCCUAUUUGCUGCUUUGUUUGUUUGUUUCUGUUAGUUAUAAAGAAUGUCCCUUUUCUCACCGUACUUUACAAAUAGACUCAAGUUGCUGGCUGGGAGUUUCAGGGAUUUUCAGUCCUUUCUGCUACGUGGGAAGAAAUUGGGGUUUGGGGGAGGAGUGGUAUUGUUAAAAAAGCCGCCUGCGUUUCCGCACUGUCCGUGCUGACUUGCCGGGUCUCGUGUCUGGACAGCAGACCGCAGCGGGGCCGGGAAGGGCGACCUGCAGUCCACGUUGCUGGAAGGGCACGGCUCGGCCCCACCCGACCUGGACCUCUCCGCCAUCAACGAGAAAAGUGCAGUCAAAAAGACUCCACAAUUAGAAAAAACAUCAGAGAAAACGGCAUCGACGUCAUUUUCUGCCCCUCGGAAAAAGAGCCCGACCCGGUCCGAAGAGAUGGAGAUGAUGGAGUCGCAGACGCUGCUGCUGACUCUGCUGGCGGUCAAGAUGGAAAAGGGUCUUGCUCGGUUCGAAGAAGAGGCCGAAAAACACUUAUUAAAACUGUGCAAAGAGAAGGAGGAGCUGCAGAGAAAGACCCACGAGCUGCGGCGCAGACUUCUCCUCUGUCAGAAGAAGCGGGAGCUGGAGGAGGCGCUUGACGCCCAGAUAGAGAUGCUCAGUCCCUUCGAGGCAGUGGGCGAACGCUUCCAGGAGCAGUACAGGACGCUCGCCACGGCCCUGGACGCCACCCGGCACGAGCUGCCCGUGAGGGCGAUCCACCUGGAGGGCGACGGGCAGCAGUUCUUAGACGCCCUGCAGUCUGAAUUGGAGACCACUCAGAAGCUCCUGGAAGAUCUCGGCAUGGGCACUUCAGAAGAAAACGUGCAGGUGCUGGACCUACUGGGCGAACUCAAGGACGUGCCGUGAAAAAGACCUUGAGCUCCGAAGUAUCUCAGAAA
RNAcentral lists this long non-coding RNA (1296 nucleotides) under Microcebus murinus (gray mouse lemur). RNAcentral describes it as "lncRNA (ENSMICG00000048571.1)". Lineage: Eukaryota; Metazoa; Chordata; Mammalia; Primates; Cheirogaleidae. The record is from RNAcentral.